Molecule: long non-coding RNA, 1062 nt
Filed under: Fragaria vesca (wild strawberry)
Lineage: Eukaryota; Viridiplantae; Streptophyta; Magnoliopsida; Rosales; Rosaceae
Description: long non-coding RNA (FVES_LNC004285)
Source: RNAcentral
AAAUUCGUACCCUGCCCACGAUAAAACCAGUACCUAAUCAUGGAAUGCAAGCAUCAAGUUCAUUAUCAACAAAGCAUAUGUUUAAAAAAUAACGAUAAUUUAUCUCCUAAACAUAAAUUAGGGAAAUUAGACAGUACAUGAAACAUAAAACAUAACCUAAAAAUCAAUUCGAAAUCAAAAGUAAAAAAGAAGAAAAACGCUAACCUUGGAGACUGGGAGAACGAGGGAGGAGGGAGGAGGUGGAGACCGGGAGAGGGAGGGAGGGAGGAGGGAGGAGGGAGGAGGGAGGAGGGAGGAGGCGGAGACGGGAGAGGGAGGGAGGAGGGAGGGAGGAGAGAGGAGACCGGGAGAGGGAGGAGGGAGGAGACCGGGACCGGGAGAGGGAGGGAAGGAGGAGGGAGGAGGCGGAGACGGGAGAGGGAUAAUUAGAAGGGAGGAGGCUAGGGUUUCGCAGUUAAACCCGAAAACUUUAGCCGAUGAAAUAAUUAUUUCGUCGGCUAAAGCUACAAAUUUCGUCGGCUAUACAUCAAUUCGUCGGCUAAACCUUCUAAAUUCGUCAGCUAAAACUUUGAAAUUCGUCGGCUAAACUUUAUAAAUUCGUCGGCUAAAAGUAUUUUUAUACAUUUGGCACAUUGUGAUUGUGAUGAUCAAACUUGAGAAAAAUAAAUCCGACCGUCACACUGUCUUCUUAAUUGUAUUUUUUUUAGAUCAAUGUGUGCCUUAGGACCGUCUUUCGUCUUCCCCUCCAAGUUCAGCACUGUGCCCACCACACUGUCUCAAACAUUCUUUUCUAUGUGCAUCACAUCUAGGUAGUGCAUGAUCAACAACUUACUCCAGUAUGUACUUACAUUAGCAAUAAUGAAUGUCUUGAGAAUUUUUCAAAGUGAAACUAUUCUCCCCUUAUGGUUCAUAUUGAUUUACAAUCAAGAUGUACACUUACAUCGUCCUUAGAAACAUGGCAUAUUGUGCCGAUUUUGGUCCCUUCCUUUGAAGGUGACUCAUGGCACUGCAUCCUCAAGGAGGAUCGCCCACGUGUUUCCGGUUAAGUCUUCUACCCUAUAG